CGACUCGUGACGUGACCAACAACAAACAAGAUGGCUCUGUGCUUUUCUUAAAGCUUUUCUCUUCUUACAUGAGGACUACCUCCAAGUUCCGUACAAAAAUAAAGAUAAAUAUUACUAUCGACUAUGUCUCAUUUUCUCAUUGGACUCUGAAGAUGACUUACACUCAGGUUGUGGAAUCGUCAGUCGCCACCUACUAUAGUCUUUUUCAAGACUACACUCACCCGGACAAUCACAUUUCACACCAAAUUCAACUCAUUUCUUUCAUUUUUCUCUUUCUGUUCUUUCACUUUUGGUGUAAUGCAAAUUCUUUUAGAAUUUUUNAUUUCAUUUUCCAGGUUAAGCAACAUGCUAUUAACAAAUACUACAGAAUGUCUCUGUGAUCCAUGCCAUUUGUAUAUGAUGACAUAACAUCUUAUAAAGAAAAAAAGUUAAUACAUAUAUACUAUAAAAAUCAUUUAUUACUACAGUA
RNAcentral lists this long non-coding RNA (469 nucleotides) under Actinia tenebrosa (Australian red waratah sea anemone). Its description in RNAcentral is "uncharacterized LOC116302221". The record is from RNAcentral. Lineage: Eukaryota; Metazoa; Cnidaria; Anthozoa; Actiniaria; Actiniidae.